UAAAGAGCAUGCUUCUGGAUCUGGAUCCUGGGAAACAAGGAUACAUGACACACAGAAAGAUUAAAGGAAAAAGAGAAGAGAAUGUAAAGACAAAAGAGGGAUACAAGAUGAAGAGUUUUCUCUCUACAGGAUCUGAAUAACUUUCUUCAGUAGGGUGUUUCUUUAUCUACUUAACCUUCAGAGAAAUCAAGUCCAAGAUCACACAAUAAGUGGCAAAAUCCAAAGUUGAACCCAGUGUUUUUCCCCCAACCCCAGCAGCUUCCAUUUGAAGAGGGAAAUCAUUUGAGAGACUAUGAU
This 297-nucleotide long non-coding RNA is filed under the name Homo sapiens (human). RNAcentral describes it as "non-protein coding lnc-PTGER3-2:1". Lineage: Eukaryota; Metazoa; Chordata; Mammalia; Primates; Hominidae. The record is from RNAcentral.